GGGCCCGUAGCUCAGCUUGGUAGAGCAACAGCCUUUUAAGCUGUGGGUCGCGCGUUCGAAUCGCGUCGGGCCCG
Molecule: transfer RNA, 74 nt
Filed under: Candidatus Woesearchaeota archaeon
Lineage: Archaea; Nanobdellati; Candidatus Woesearchaeota
Description: tRNA-Lys
Rfam family: tRNA
About the family: Transfer RNA (tRNA) molecules are approximately 80 nucleotides in length. Their secondary structure includes four short double-helical elements and three loops (D, anti-codon, and T loops).
Source: RNAcentral